GGGGGGGGGGGGGGGGGGGGGGGGGGGGGGGGGGGGGAGGGGAGGGGCCCGGCGGGCAGGGUACUGGAGGGGCGAACGGGGGAGUAACACGGGGGGGAUCGGGCCUGCGCUUCGGGGUAAGCCUGGGGAAAUUGGUGCAAGACCGGAGAGGAGCCCGGUAUCGUUGGGGUGGUGGAAAGUGUUUUCGGUGGAGGUUGAGCUCGCGGCCGCUCAGCUUGUUUGUGGGGUAAUGGCCUACCAAGGCGGCGAGGGGUAGCCGGCCUGUGAGGGUGGACGGCCACAUUGGGACUGAGCUACGGCCCAGACUGCUACGGGAGGCAGCAGUGGGGAAUAUUGCACAAUGGGAGCAAGCCUGAUGCAGCGACGCCGCGUGGGGGAUGACGGCCUUCUGGUUGUAAACUCCUUUCGCUAGGGACGAAGCUUUUUGUGACGGUACCUAGAUAAGAAGCACCGGCUAACUACGUG
Molecule: ribosomal RNA, 465 nt
Filed under: uncultured bacterium
Lineage: Bacteria
Description: partial 16S ribosomal RNA
Rfam family: Bacterial small subunit ribosomal RNA (bases 49-465)
Source: RNAcentral